CCUGCGCUUUCUCAAUGAAAUUUUUACAGUGUGUUGUACUACUUUUGGGACAAAUUAUAUCAAAAUUAUAGAAAACUUCAUCGCCUCUAACUCAAAAUAUGGACAAUUUUGUGUUUAGGGUGUCUUGAAAUCUUUUGACAGCUUCCGAAGUGCUAAUUUUUAACCUUUUUCAGCUGGACCAAAUCACUACUUUUCUGUAAAAUUCUGGACCCAAAUUUUUUCACAGUGUAAUUUCACCCCC
This 241-nucleotide long non-coding RNA is filed under the name Mytilus galloprovincialis (Mediterranean mussel). Lineage: Eukaryota; Metazoa; Mollusca; Bivalvia; Mytilida; Mytilidae. The record is from RNAcentral.